GACGAACGCUGGCGGCGUGCUUAACACAUGCAAGUCGAGCGGUAAGGCCCUUUCGGGGGUACACGAGCGGCGAACGGGUGAGUAACACGUGGGUGACCUGCCCUUAGCUCCGGGAUAAGCCUGGGAAACUGGGUCUAAUACCGGAUAUGACUCCAUGACGCAUGUUGUGGGGUGGAAAGCCUUGUGCGGCUAGGGAUGGGCCCGCGGCCUAUCAGCUUGUUGGUGGGGUGAUGGCCUACCAAGGCGACGACGGGUAGCCGGCCUGAGAGGGCGACCGGCCACACUGGGACUGAGACACGGCCCAGACUCCUACGGGAGGCAGCAGUGGGGAAUCUUGCGCAAUGGGGACGAAAGCCUGACGCAGCGACGCCGCGUGAGGGAUGAC
Molecule: ribosomal RNA, 385 nt
Filed under: uncultured bacterium
Lineage: Bacteria
Description: bacterial SSU rRNA
Rfam family: Bacterial small subunit ribosomal RNA
Source: RNAcentral